Molecule: ribosomal RNA, 465 nt
Filed under: uncultured Klebsiella sp.
Lineage: Bacteria; Pseudomonadati; Pseudomonadota; Gammaproteobacteria; Enterobacterales; Enterobacteriaceae
Description: bacterial SSU rRNA
Rfam family: Bacterial small subunit ribosomal RNA
Source: RNAcentral
CCUACGGGUGGCUGCAGUGGGGAAUAUUGCACAAUGGGCGCAAGCCUGAUGCAGCCAUGCCGCGUGUGUGAAGAAGGCCUUCGGGUUGUAAAGCACUUUCAGCGGGGAGGAAGGCGUUAAGGUUAAUAACCUUGGCGAUUGACGUUACCCGCAGAAGAAGCACCGGCUAACUCCGUGCCAGCAGCCGCGGUAAUACGGAGGGUGCAAGCGUUAAUCGGAAUUACUGGGCGUAAAGCGCACGCAGGCGGUCUGUCAAGUCGGAUGUGAAAUCCCCGGGCUCAACCUGGGAACUGCAUUCGAAACUGGCAGGCUAGAGUCUUGUAGAGGGGGGUAGAAUUCCAGGUGUAGCGGUGAAAUGCGUAGAGAUCUGGAGGAAUACCGGUGGCGAAGGCGGCCCCCUGGACAAAGACUGACGCUCGGGUGCGAAAGCGUGGGGAGCAAACAGGAUUAGAUACCCUAGUAGUC